GUGACCUGUUAAACGGCCGCGGUAUCCUAACCGUGCAAAGGUAGCGUAAUCACUUGUCUUCAAUAAAGACUAGAAUGAAUGGCCAAACGAGGUUCCACCUGUCUCUUACAAACAAUCAGUGAAAUUGGUCCCCCCGUGCAAAAGCGAGGAUAACAUUAUAAGACGAGAAGACCCUGUGGAACUUUAAAUAUAAAUCAACUAUCACACUUACUACCCUAAAGACUUAUAACUUACUAGUUCUGAUCCAUAUUUUUGGUUGGGGUGACCUCGGAGUAAAACAAAACCUCCGAAAAAAGAACAUACUUUCUUAACCUAGAUUUACAACUCAAAGUGCCAACGGUAAAAUGAUCCAAUUAUAUUUGAUCAACGAACCAAGGCUACCCCAGGGAUAACAGCGGCAAUCCCAUCCUAGAGUCCCUAUCGACGAUGGGGGUUUACGACCUCGAUGUUGGAUCAGGACAUCCUGAUGGUGCAACCGCUAUCAAGGGUUCGUUUGUUCACGAUUAACAGUUCCCCGUGGUCCUGAGUUCAAACCGGAGA
This 540-nucleotide ribosomal RNA is filed under the name Lepidochelys olivacea (Pacific ridley). RNAcentral's name for it is "partial 16S ribosomal RNA". It matches the Rfam family "Bacterial large subunit ribosomal RNA", at positions 1915 to 2622 of the family's 2925-position model. Lineage: Eukaryota; Metazoa; Chordata; Testudines; Cheloniidae. The record is from RNAcentral.